CCUAGCCUGCUGUUCAGUGGUACACAAUUAAAAUGUUGUUAAUUGAUAAAAUUCUGUUGAUUUUAGAUAAUUAACUUUCAACUUUAAUCAAAUGUUUUGAUUGAGAAGGUGCAGAUCUCUUCCAUUGGUCCAAUUUGACUCCAUUAUGAAUUCUUAACUAAGGAAAGGAAAUCACAUCAAACAACAAUUGAUUGCACUAUGGUCAACCUUUCUACAUGUUCUAGCUGUUCUUUUGUUCAUUCGUUGUAU
Molecule: long non-coding RNA, 249 nt
Filed under: Mytilus galloprovincialis (Mediterranean mussel)
Lineage: Eukaryota; Metazoa; Mollusca; Bivalvia; Mytilida; Mytilidae
Source: RNAcentral